UGUAUGUAUAUAUCAGUGCUGCUGACCUGGAUCUAAAAGUUGUAAUCGAUCGAAGCGCUCUCUGCGUAAGUUCCCUCGGUUCCAAACCAUUCGAAGGUGGUACUCUCCACCGGGAAGUAGCGCAACACAAUAUUAGACAAAACGCGGUCGGUAAAAGACCUGAAUCUGAGUCGGUAACCAUACCAACAGG
This is a long non-coding RNA of Neodiprion virginianus, 190 nucleotides long. RefSeq lists it as uncharacterized. Lineage: Eukaryota; Metazoa; Arthropoda; Insecta; Hymenoptera; Diprionidae. The record is from RefSeq and is a predicted model, not a curated record. The transcript is spliced from 3 exons.